This 119-nucleotide ribosomal RNA is filed under the name Exaiptasia diaphana. The record is from RNAcentral. Lineage: Eukaryota; Metazoa; Cnidaria; Anthozoa; Actiniaria; Aiptasiidae.
GUCUACGGCCAUACCACUGGGAAAGCACCGGUUCUCGUCCGAUCACCGAAGUCAAGCCUGGUAGGGCCAGGUUAGUACCCGGAUGGGUGACUGCCUGGGGAUACCUGGUGCUGCAGACU